RNAcentral lists this ribosomal RNA (301 nucleotides) under uncultured bacterium. Its description in RNAcentral is "partial 16S ribosomal RNA". It matches the Rfam family "Bacterial small subunit ribosomal RNA", at positions 509 to 807 of the family's 1533-position model. The record is from RNAcentral.
CAGUCGCCGCGGUAAUACAGAGGUCCCGAGCGUUGUUCGGAUUCACUGGGCGUAAAGGGUGUGUAGGAGGCUAGGUAAGUCAGUUGUGAAAUCCCACCGCUCAACGGUGGAACUGCAAUCGAUACUGCUUGGCUAGAGGAUCGGAGGGGGAAGCGGAAUUCUUGGUGUAGCGGUGAAAUGCGUAGAUAUCAAGAGGAACACCAGUGGCGAAGGCGGCUCACUGGACGACUGUUGACACUGAGAGACGAAAGCUAGGGGAGCAAAUGGGAUUAGAUACCCCGGUAGUCCCUGUCUCUUAUAC